UAAUACGGAGGGUCCAAGCGUUAAUCGGAAUUACUGGGCGUAAAGCGCGCGUAGGCGGUACGCUAAGUUGGGUGUGAAAUCCCCGGGCUUAACCUGGGAACUGCAUUCAAAACUUGUGUACUGGAGUACGAAAGAGGCGAGUAGAAUUCAUGGUGUAGCGGUGAAAUGCGUAGAUAUCAUGAGGAAUACCAAUGGCGAAGGCAACUCGCUGGUUCGUAACUGACGCUGAGGUGCGAAAGCGUGGGUAGCAAACAGGAUUAGAUACCCUGGUAGUCCACGCCGUAAACGAUGAGAACUAGCCGUUGGAUCCUUGAGGUUCAGUGGCACAGCUAACGCAUUAAGUUCUCCGCCUGGGGAGUACGGCCGCAAGGCUA
Molecule: ribosomal RNA, 374 nt
Filed under: uncultured Gammaproteobacteria bacterium
Lineage: Bacteria; Pseudomonadati; Pseudomonadota; Gammaproteobacteria
Description: bacterial SSU rRNA
Rfam family: Bacterial small subunit ribosomal RNA
Source: RNAcentral